This 387-nucleotide ribosomal RNA is filed under the name uncultured bacterium. RNAcentral's name for it is "bacterial SSU rRNA". It matches the Rfam family "Bacterial small subunit ribosomal RNA", at positions 29 to 410 of the family's 1533-position model. The record is from RNAcentral.
AAUCAACGCUGGCGGCGUGCCUAACACAUGCAAGUCGAGCGCGAAAGGGGGCAACCCGACGUAGAGCGGCGAACGGGUGAGUAACGCGUGGGUGAUUUGCCUCCGAGUGGGAACGAACACCGGGAAACUGGUGCUAAUACCGCAUGACAUCCUCGGGUCGUACUGGGGAUCAAAGCUGGGGACCGCAAGGCCUAGCGCUUGGAGAGAAGCCCGCGUCCGAUUAGCUAGUUGGUGGGGAAUGGCCUACCAAGGCGACGAUCGGUAGCCGGCCUGAGAGGGCGGACGGCCACACUGGGACUGAGACACGGCCCAGACUCCUACGGGAGGCAGCAGUAGGGAAUAUUGCGCAAUGGCCGCAAGCUGACGCAGCAACACCGCGUGGGGAUG